This 468-nucleotide ribosomal RNA is filed under the name uncultured bacterium. RNAcentral's name for it is "partial 16S ribosomal RNA". It matches the Rfam family "Bacterial small subunit ribosomal RNA", at positions 28 to 507 of the family's 1533-position model. The record is from RNAcentral.
GACGAACGCUGGCGGCGUGCUUAACACAUGCAAGUCGAACGGAAAGGCCCUGCUUUUGUGGGGUGCUCGAGUGGCGAACGGGUGAGUAACACGUGAGUAACCUGCCCUUGACUUUGGGAUAACUUCAGGAAACUGGGGCUAAUACCCGAUAGGAGCUCCUGCUGCAUGGUGGGGGUUGGAAAGGUUCGGCGGUUGGGGAUGGACUCGCGGCUUAUCAGCUUGUUGGUGGGGUAGUGGCUUACCAAGGCUUUGACGGGUAGCCGGCCUGAGAGGGUGACCGGCCACAUUGGGACUGAGAUACGGCCCAGACUCCUACGGGAGGCAGCAGUGGGGAAUAUUGCACAAUGGGCGGAAGCCUGAUGCAGCAACGCCGCGUGCGGGAUGACGGCCUUCGGGUUGUAAACCGCUUUCGCCUGUGACGAAGCGUGAGUGACGGUAAUGGGUAAAGAAGCACCGGCUAACUACGUG